RNAcentral lists this unclassified non-coding RNA (315 nucleotides) under Hevea brasiliensis (rubber tree). The record is from RNAcentral. Lineage: Eukaryota; Viridiplantae; Streptophyta; Magnoliopsida; Malpighiales; Euphorbiaceae.
ACAAGGAUGAGUGAAAUGUGCUUGAGGCGUGCCUGGUUGCGCCUUGUGCAUGGUGCAAGGCACACACCUUGCUAACAUCCCAGCCUUUUGCUUCUUGAGGCCCUGACACUUGCACCUCAAGUACACUUUUAACAACACAUUAUCAAGAACUUGAUACACGCAUAAACAUUAAAAGUGUUAAAAUACCCUGUUAAAGGAAACAUUUUCAUUCAUUGUCCAAACUCAAAUUAAAAUGCAGAAAGAGUAUCCAGACUGAAUUGUCAAGGCAAUAAAAUAUCAACGGCUAAAAGCACCUGUGCCAACUUGCUGCUAGCA